UGUCAGCAGCCGCGGUAAUACGGAGGAUCCAAGCGUUAUCCGGAAUCAUUGGGUUUAAAGGGUCCGUAGGCGGUUUGAUAAGUCAGUGGUGAAAGCCCAUCGCUCAACGAUGGAACGGCCAUUGAUACUGUUAGACUUGAAUUAUUUGGAAGUAACUAGAAUAUGUAGUGUAGCGGUGAAAUGCUUAGAGAUUACAUGGAAUACCAAUUGCGAAGGCAGGUUACUACAAAUGGAUUGACGCUGAUGGACGAAAGCGUGGGUAGCGAACAGGAUUAGAUACCCUGGUAGUCCACGCCGUAAACGAUGGAUACUAGCUGUUGGGGGCAACUUCAGUGGCUAAGCGAAAGUGAUAAGUAUCCCACCUGGGGAGUACGUUCGCAAGAAUGAAACUCAAAUGAAUUGACGG
This 406-nucleotide ribosomal RNA is filed under the name uncultured Flavobacterium sp. Its description in RNAcentral is "bacterial SSU rRNA". It matches the Rfam family "Bacterial small subunit ribosomal RNA", at positions 506 to 916 of the family's 1533-position model. Lineage: Bacteria; Pseudomonadati; Bacteroidota; Flavobacteriia; Flavobacteriales; Flavobacteriaceae. The record is from RNAcentral.